This 5464-nucleotide long non-coding RNA is filed under the name Mus musculus (house mouse). RNAcentral's name for it is "long non-coding RNA chr15:6712631-6718095". The record is from RNAcentral. Lineage: Eukaryota; Metazoa; Chordata; Mammalia; Rodentia; Muridae.
AAAUAAUAAGCAAUCAGAUUGUUUGAGGGACAGAAGUGGUGUCGCAGCAGCCAGAGGAGAGUGUGAUCAGUAGUGGCGCAUUGGUGAUCAGAGAAGCCUUGAAAGGGCUAGCUGUCCAUAAAAGCUGUGGCUACGUGGAAGGAGGUGUGGGCUGCCUGCCGAAUCCAGCACACUGUGGAAAGGGAAAGUCGGUGGAUGGAGGAGCUGUGUAGAAGGCAUCUACUGGCAUCGGAGAAAUGAUGAAGGAUUAGACCAGGGGUUUAGCUACAGAAUUGGAAUCAAAGAUAUUUUAGAGUGAGGAAAUCAGCUGAUUUGCUUUCUCCUAUUGAAAAGCGACUUUUAAGUUUUGGUAACUUAAAAGUCUGUCUGUCUCCCAUUUUGAAGGCAGUCUUGUGUGUUCCUAGCUGGUUUGGUUCUGACUAUGUGGCCCAGGUCGGAGUAAUCCUCUUGCUUAAGCAUGUGCUAGCACACCUAGCUUCUUUCUUUUCUUUAUUAAGAAGGCAAAGGCUGAGAGAUCUGAAUUCUGGAUUCCUAAUGAAGUCAGACCUGACUUCUCUUGCUAGUCAGGCUGUAAAGCAGUUCCUCUCCAGGAGCGACUCUACUCCUGAUAGAUUUCCUUCAAGUCUUUGUACAACUCUUCCUUUACUUUAGUUUCUUUCUCCCUGUUGGCCCCGUUUCCACUUGAUUAGCAGAUAUUUGCUGUAUCCUUCUGGAUGGGUUACUAGAGUGGACAUAGGUCAGGGCAGAGUAGAAAGAGAUAAAGACUAGGAACAAUAAUUCUCUGAAGACUUCAGGCAGAGUUUCCUCCACAGCUGCCUUCUCUCCAUGGGCUCUCUCCAUGUAGUGAAAACGCUGUCUUAAUUGAUGUGAACAGCCUCUCCUGAAACUCACUGCCAUUUGAAGUUUUACAUCCUGCUUUUGCUAUGAUUACUAUACCGUGCUGUGCCAAGCACUCAAUUAUCUCAGUUUUCAUUAACUGUUCGCUAUACUUACUCCAAUCAAAGAAGAAAAGCUUUGAAAUUCUAAAGCAUUGAGACCUAGAGAGAUGUCGUUCAGUGUCAUAGGGCCAGUGAAUGCCAUGUAUCUAAUAAUCAUCUUUGAGUGUGUCAGACUUGGCACCCGAAGGCUUAUCUACUUUCUGCUUUCUAGGUACUAUCAGUAUCUUCUGUUGUUCAAACUCCAGACCUGCUCUUCAUUUGCUUAGUUCUCUUGAUGAACUACUGCAUGUGGCCUCUGAAAUAUCUAGUUGGUAGUCUGUUCCCAUCAUUGUUGGUGUUCCUUCAAGUUCUCAUUAUCCCUGUGGAGUAAUAAAAAAGACUUGAUCUCCGUUUUUACCUUUUUUUCAUUCCUGCUCUACUGCUACUAGGAGCAUUUUCUUGUAAAUCCAGAUUUGAUCUUGCCAUGUAUUCACUUGAAACUAAACGGCAGCGAAACAAGGCUUGCUUUUGCUUACAGUAUAAAGUCCAAUUCCUUAGCUUGGCAUCCAAGGCCUUUUAUAAGCUAUUUAUGCAUUUUCUUUUGUGCUACUACAGCUGUAGCAAUCAAAAUGUAUUUGCCUGUUGGCAUAGCUCUUGUUUGUAGCGCACUCCUUCAUACACAGAGCACCAUUUGCAGGAGAUUAGGGUCAGUUUUCUGGUCUAAAGCACUGACUCUCCCCCCGUUCCUCUUGAGAGUAAUUGUUUGAAUCAGAGAAAUAUGGUUUUUGAAGCGUGACUGCCAUUUUAUGCUUACUUACUGUAGUUGUUUCCUUUACCUAGGAAUGUAUUCUCAGUAGUCUUUAUUUUUUAAAAAACGGUAAUUCUUUAAGGCUAAGGGGUAGAGCUGAAGGUCUUUGCUCAUGCUUACCAAGAAGUCUGUUACUGAGUUUGUUCCCAACCCCUGAAGCAGUGAAUGAAAGGAUGGAGAAAGAAAUGAACAACAGAGUAGUAUAUUAUUAAAGAGACUGGAACCAAAGUGAUAGAGCUGUAAAAUAGAGAAGACACUUAGGACUUCAGUGUGUGGUUUUGAAUUUCGUGUGAUUGAUAACACCAACCAUAUGGAAAAAGUACUACAAAAUAGAGUGAAUGUUUAAUAGUUGUUAUUCUGAAUUUAUGAUUUGAGUAUUUUUUGUAUAGGUUGUUACGAGCGUGCGAGAGAUUUGUGUGUGUUGGGAGUGACUGUAGGACCUUACAUGUGCUAAACAUGUUCACUGCUGAAUUAUGUCCUCAGCUCCUCCGUGGACAGCUAAAGAUCUGAGCAUUCCAAGAUCAGAGAGACUGCACAUUGUGGAUAGGAUCCUUCAACAGAUGAAAGUGGUGAAGGUUCUAAUCUGAGAUUGUUCAGUUGGCGGGGCUGGAAGCUGUAGUGGAAGGUGGGGCCUGUGGAACUUAGUUCUGCUCUUAGCGUGAGAGUGACUCUGGCUGGUGUUUACCCUGUGGGCUUCGGCUGCCUUACCUCUAGGGUGCAUAACGCUUACUGCACACAGCACUUUGACCUUCCGUCUCUGUGAUUCUCAGAUAAUCACCUCUGGCUGUUGAAAGGUUAAAUAAAGAGAAAGCAUUCGGAACCUUGUUAAGUUGAUGGUGAGGAGUAUUGAGAAGUAUUUCUUAAAUACUGUGUAUGUAUAAACAGUAUGUGUUGGCGUGACAGUGUUUCAUAGCACUUUAAAUGUAAGUUACAGUCAAGCGAUCUGUCUGCUGAGACUUGCUACCUUGGUCUCCUGCUCCAGAAAAUAGGGCUCUGAAAAGCACAGUGGGCUAGCAAAAGUGCUUUGCCUGCCGGUUCCUCUGUCACCCUCUAGUUAGUCUGCUCUGCCCUGCGCUUAGAAAGCUGCCAGGGAGUGUGAUAGUGUGGAGUCCUGUUACUGACUCUGUGUGUUGUGAUAGUGUGGAGUCUGUGUCGCUUGGUCAGAUCGUCAUGUUGUUCUUUUUCCCUUCAGUAGGUUUUUUGUUUGUUGAUUUUUUUUUUUUUGUAUUUUUAUUUUCUAAGUAAAUGCUAUCAGUAGUGGAGGGAAGGGAACAGGUUAAAAUAUUUAGUAAAUAAUCGAUGUAUGAGUGAUGAGAGGAAACUGCUAAACUUUUUGGAUCAUCCAUUGUUUUGAUACCAUUGUACUUUUUGUCAGUGUGACCACGUUAAACAAAAUUGCUCCCUGUACAGUGAAUGGCGUAUAGAAUUAUGCAGAUGCCAAAAUAAAUGGGAAAUAAUUAUGCAUACCAGCUAAAAAUAAUUCAUAUGUUCAAGUAAUGUAGAUGACAAAGAAUCCAAACAUGAGUGCAUUCUUCAUCCACCAGUUCCAGUGUAGACUCAUGCGCUAUUGCUGUGUACCUAGUAAUGAGUUUUAUAUAAAAUAACAUUGAGAAUAUGUUAAUGCCUUAAACAAAGCCAGGUAAAUAUAAUAGCAAAUAUGUUAAAAAGACUUUCAAACCCAAAUAAACUUGGAUUUUAAAGACUUAGCAUAAAUAAGUUGCAGUUUUUACUCCUGUAUACUAAAGAAUUUGGAUGUAUAGUGCUUUUUCUUGAUGUUAGCACAUGCCACCAUAGCAGACCUGAGACAGUUUUAAAAAUCAAAACCUAAAUUUGAGACCAAACAUCUUACUAACAAGUCAUUUAGUGUUUAAGAUAGUAUUGGGAGAAAGUUGGUGGCAAGUGUUUUCCCUCUGAAAUGUUGAAGACUAAUUAUAUUUUAGGUUUGGGUUUGUUUGACCUUUGAUAGGCAGUGAUGCUGGACUGGAUUUUGAGAUUUGAAUCAUACUGUGAAAUAAUUGCACACUUGUGUUGAUGAAUCUGUAAUUGCUUGCAUUUUAAGCUUAGUCAUAAAUGAUUCUUCUCCUAUUACUGUGUAGGGCAUGUGACCUUCCUCUUCAUUAAUACAUUCUUGACAGAGGGUACUGUGCAAGUUCAAGGGCUUCUUUCUCUCAGUUUAGAAAACUUAAUUCUGAAUAGAUGCACCCUGGAAACACGAGACUAAAGUGGGGUGGCUGUACUUUUAUUUUCUACAGCGAAGUGACUAUUUUCUGAUCUCAGAACUUAAGCAUAUGACCUACUGAUGAGAUCUUAAGUAAUUUGAAGUGAACAUCCUGAAGGCUGGUGAGAGGGCUCAGUGACGGACGGGACCUGACUUGCCGACAAGACAAGCCCAGCGGCACAGAAAGCCUGGAGAGGACUGACCCCAGCAGUCUGUCCUUUGUCUCCGGGGACACGUGUGCUUGCUGUAGCACACAUGAUAUAGCAUGUGCAUGUACACAUAUCCCCAACAUACAACAUAAGUAAAUGUUGUUUUUUUCCUUUUUCUUUUUUCGAGACAGGGUUUCUCUGUAUAGCCCUGGCUGUCCUGGAACUCACUCUAUAGUUCAGGCUGGCCUCGAACUCAGAAAUCCGCCUGCCUCCGCCUCCCGAGUGCUGGAAUUAAAGGCGUGCGCCACCAAGCCCGGCUCAACAUAAGUAAAUGAAUACUAGACACGUAAGAAACAUCUGUCUUGAAAACUCAGUGUUUCAUUAAGUCCAGAACCUGUUUAGCUCUGUGGAAUGGUGAAAUGGCUGCUGUAGCAGGGUAGCAGAACCAGACUUGGAUUGUCACUUGCAGAGAUGUUAGUAAUGUUGCUUGGAAUUCAGUGCAAUUUCAUGUGUUUCUCAUAAUGAAUAAAGAGUGAAGAGGCACAGGAGCUGUAAACAGAGGAGGUUGCCAAGUCACUUAGUUACUUAAAAGGAGCAGUUUGCCAGAGAAAAGGAUAUUUAACUGCUUUAAAUGUGGGCAUGUAUGUAUUUUUUCAGCAGUUACAUAGAUCUAGAAAGUCACAUCUUGAAAUAGUAGUGCUAAUUAUUUCCGCACUUGGUUCAUCCCUGGUGUAUUAAAACUUUUAAUUGCCCUGUUUUUUUUUUUUUCCCACUCAUAAUCCUCUAAUGUACUCUUUAACAUUGUAUAAUCCCCACCUGCCUCCUGCUAGUGGGGAGGGGGGAGGAAAAAGAAGUGAAUGGAGAGAAACUUAAGUUGAGGAAACAUUUUGGUGAUGUGAGCUCCAACAUUGUACUGUGUUUCUGUGUGUGGCCAAGGGACAAUGGAAUAGUGUGGUCCUUAGUAUUCUACAUGUGGAUUGUAAGAGGUGGUAUGAUUUUGUUUAAUCACAUUUGUCUCCUGUGUUACUGACUUAAUCAGUAAUUACUGUCUGAAUAUUAGAAUUGUUUGAUACUCUGUUAGAAUGGCCUGUGGUUUUUAUUACUAGACUGGUGGUGUUUUAAAAUGACACAGGCUGGUACAAAGGAAGUCAGGUGCAUGCCUAAGUUUCAAUUAUUAUAUGGAAUUCCUGUGUACAGUUUUAGUUACUGCUGACGAAUUAAAUUUAAGCUUAUGUUAGCUUUGAAAUGGAGGUUACUGUAUAUACUUCCUCCCCCUUUGUCCUUUUCCUUUAUUUAAUAGGAGAAUUUAGAGUUAGCUGUUAAUUAGGUUCCAGCCUUGUUCUUUCCCUGACAAAAGGAGAAAAAUUACUUG